AUACCAACACUUAAUCUAAAUCAAUUCUAAAAAACAGUAUCCACAUAGUGGUGAUGAAUCAAUCAAUCAAGAGGCACUUGUAAUGACUGAGGCAGGCACUGAGCCUGUUAUU
Alosa sapidissima (American shad) is the source of this 112-nucleotide long non-coding RNA. RefSeq lists it as uncharacterized. The transcript has 3 exons. Lineage: Eukaryota; Metazoa; Chordata; Actinopteri; Clupeiformes; Clupeidae. The record is from RefSeq and is a predicted model, not a curated record.